CGUGGGCAAUCUGCCCUGCACUCUGGGACAAGCCCUGGAAACGGGGUCUAAUACCGGAUACUGACCCGCUUGGGCAUCCAAGCGGUUCGAAAGCUCCGGCGGUGCAGGAUGAGCCCGCGGCCUAUCAGCUUGUUGGUGAGGUAAUGGCUCACCAAGGCGACGACGGGUAGCCGGCCUGAGAGGGCGACCGGCCACACUGGGACUGAGACACGGCCCAGACUCCUACGGGAGGCAGCAGUGGGGAAUAUUGCACAAUGGGCGAAAGCCUGAUGCAGCGACGCCGCGUGAGGGAUGACGGCCUUCGGGUUGUAAACCUCUUUCAGCAGGGAAGAAGCGAAAGUGACGGUACCUGCAGAAGAAGCGCCGGCUAACUACGUGCCAGCAGCCGCGGUAAUACGUAGGGCGCGAGCGUUGUCCGGAAUUAUUGGGCGUAAAGAGCUCGUAGGCGGCUUGUCACGUCGGUUGUGAAAGCCCGGGGCUUAACCCCGGGUCUGCAGUCGAUACGGGCA
Molecule: ribosomal RNA, 509 nt
Filed under: Streptomyces sp. SCAU5124
Lineage: Bacteria; Bacillati; Actinomycetota; Actinomycetes; Kitasatosporales; Streptomycetaceae
Also listed under: 1 other name
Description: bacterial SSU rRNA
Rfam family: Bacterial small subunit ribosomal RNA
Source: RNAcentral